Molecule: ribosomal RNA, 485 nt
Filed under: uncultured bacterium
Lineage: Bacteria
Description: bacterial SSU rRNA
Rfam family: Bacterial small subunit ribosomal RNA
Source: RNAcentral
CUACGUGCCAGCAGCCGCGGUAAUACGUAGGGCGCGAGCGUUGUCCGGAAUUAUUGGGCGUAAAGAGCUUGUAGGCGGUUUGUCGCGUCUGCUGUGAAAGGCCGGGGCUUAACUCCGUGUAUUGCAGUGGGUACGGGCAGACUAGAGUGCAGUAGGGGAGACUGGAAUUCCUGGUGUAGCGGUGGAAUGCGCAGAUAUCAGGAGGAACACCGGUGGCGAAGGCAGGUCUCUGGGCUGUAACUGACGCUGAGAAGCGAAAGCAUGGGGAGCGAACAGGAUUAGAUACCCUGGUAGUCCAUGCCGUAAACGUUGGGCACUAGGUGUGGGGGACAUUCCACGUUUUCCGCGCCGUAGCUAACGCAUUAAGUGCCCCGCCUGGGGAGUACGGCCGCAAGGCUAAAACUCAAAGAAAUUGACGGGGGCCCGCACAAGCGGCGGAGCAUGCGGAUUAAUUCGAUGCAACGCGAAGAACCUUACCAAGGCUU